CCCUCUUCUCCCAUUUUCUUAGUUAGAAACUUCCAUUUUCAGAGCUAUAUAUUCACCAUAUUAUUCCUUUUGGAGAGAUGAAAUCCUGGUGAGCAUUAGCCAUGUCAAAGAUUAAACGUUUUCGGAAUCCACUAAAGUUAGCUCGUGAUUCACAUGAUGCUCAUGGACAUUCUUCAUCAUCAACAACUCCAGUCCAAUCACAUGCUAUAGAGCCCUCAACAACAGUACAAGCUUUCCCACAUGCUCAUGAAGUCCCGCAACAAGAAUAAGCUCCAAUUCCACCUUCUAAUUCAAGUGCAACAUCUGUGCGCCGUCCAGGUCGUGAAUCUAAAAAAUAUUGGACAGUAGAGGCAAAAGACUCAGACAAUGCUACCAAGCAUAUUAGGGUCAAGGUCAAUGAGGUUAACAACCUAACUGUUGGGGAGUGCAUCAUUGUGAAUUUUGAUGACUACAACGCAGCAUAUGGUGAAGCACAUGGAUUGCUCGCUGGAUAUUGUGGAACGUUGGCAAUUGAUUGUAAUUUGUUCCCGAUUAGUUUUGAGAAGUGGUCAGGGCCAUCAGGCAUGCCUAAGAAGUACAUGGAAGACUGCUAUGAAACAAUAUUGAAGCCUCGAUUUGAUUUUCGGGUAAGUGAGUCCAUUGCAGAUAUUGCAAUGCUAGUAUUUCAAAGAAGUGGGCUACACAUAGGCAGAAGUUGUGGAAUGAAUAUUUUGACCCAGCCAAAAGCAAAAAUGAAAUUCUAAGUAAUGUACCAGCAGGUAUAAAUAAAGAUCAAUGGGCUAGUUUUGUUGCUUACCGUAAAAAAAUCAACAACGAUGGAGCUUUGUAGAAGAAAUAAAGAAAAUCAAAAGAAGCAAAAAAUGCCGCAUACUGGUGGAUCAAAAGCUAUCCCGAGAAGACGACAUGAGCUGUUUUUGGAAACUGGAAAAACUCCUAGUCGUGGAAAACUAUUUAUUGAAACUCAUAAGUGAAGCAAUGGAUCGUUUGUAAAUGAUGCGGCAAGGACUAUAGGGAUUUGGGCCAUUUGGAGUCGGAUACUCGUGGCAAAAGCGU
Molecule: long non-coding RNA, 1053 nt
Organism: Nicotiana attenuata
Lineage: Eukaryota; Viridiplantae; Streptophyta; Magnoliopsida; Solanales; Solanaceae
Exons: 7
Source: RefSeq, a predicted model, not a curated record